Molecule: long non-coding RNA, 343 nt
Organism: Neomonachus schauinslandi (Hawaiian monk seal)
Lineage: Eukaryota; Metazoa; Chordata; Mammalia; Carnivora; Phocidae
Exons: 3
Source: RefSeq, a predicted model, not a curated record
GGCUGAGUGAGUCCAGAGACCAGCCAGCGUGUUUGGAUGCCAGGGCGUCCAGCUCCCUCUCUGGGACCCUCAUCCUGCUUGGCUGGAAGCUGUUUCCCUUGACUGCACUUUGCAUCAUCUAUGUCCUCAAGAGGAGAUUCCCUUCCAAGAGGACUGAUCCAGGAGAGGCACUGGCCAUGAAGUCUGCAACCACUACCAAAGCUUCUCCUGCCUCACCAGCCUUCUGAGACCGUCCUGCGCUGGCUGUCCCUCGCUGUCUCCUGCAGGCCCCAGAGAAAGUGAGAGCCUGGACCGGGAGGGUCAGGAGUGAGAGGGAGGCUCUCACAACCUAUGAAGGAAAGAA